RNAcentral lists this ribosomal RNA (537 nucleotides) under uncultured Acidobacteriota bacterium. RNAcentral describes it as "bacterial SSU rRNA". It matches the Rfam family "Bacterial small subunit ribosomal RNA", at positions 13 to 529 of the family's 1533-position model. Lineage: Bacteria; Pseudomonadati; Acidobacteriota. The record is from RNAcentral.
UUGAUCCUGGCUCAGAAUCAACGCUGGCGGCGUGCCUAACACAUGCAAGUCGAACGCGAAAGUCCCGCAAGGGAUUAGUAGAGUGGCAAACGGGUGAGUUACACGUGGGUGACCUGCCCUCGAGUGGGGGAUAACGUCCCGAAAGGGACUCUAAUACCGCAUAACAUCCUGCUUUUUAAGAGGUGGAGAUCAAAGCCGGUGAUCGCAAGACCUGGCGCUUGAAGAGGGGCCCGCGUCCGAUUAGCUAGUUGGUGGGGUAAUGGCUCACCAAGGCAUCGAUCGGUAUCCGGCCUGAGAGGUCGGACGGACACACUGGGACUGAGACACGGCCCAGACUCCUACGGGAGGCUGCAGUGGGGAAUUGUUCGCAAUGGGCGCAAGCCUGACGACGCAACGCCGUGUGGAGGAUGAAGAUCUUCGGGUCGUAAACUCCUUUCGAUCGAGACGAAUGGCCCCUGGGUUAAUAACCUGGGGGAGUGACGGUACCGAGAGAAGAAGCUCCGGCUAACUCCGUGCCAGCAGCCGCGGUAAUAAGGU